CACGGACCGCACGAACGUUAUUCGGUAUCACUGGGCUUAAAGGGUGCGUAGGCGGCUUUGCAAGUUGGGUGUGAAAGCCCUCGGCUCAACCGAGGAAUUGCGCUCAAUACUGCCGAGCUAGAGAGAGACAGAGGUAAGCGGAACUAAUGGUGGAGCGGUGAAAUGCGUUGGUAUCAUUAGGAACACCGGUGGCGAAGGCGGCUUACUGGGUCUUUUCUGACGCUGAGGCGCGAAAGCUAGGGGAGCAAACGGG
RNAcentral lists this ribosomal RNA (253 nucleotides) under uncultured bacterium. Its description in RNAcentral is "partial 16S ribosomal RNA". It matches the Rfam family "Bacterial small subunit ribosomal RNA", at positions 524 to 776 of the family's 1533-position model. The record is from RNAcentral.